This 1070-nucleotide ribosomal RNA is filed under the name Bacillus aerius. RNAcentral's name for it is "bacterial SSU rRNA". It matches the Rfam family "Bacterial small subunit ribosomal RNA", at positions 407 to 1461 of the family's 1533-position model. The record is from RNAcentral. Lineage: Bacteria; Bacillati; Bacillota; Bacilli; Caryophanales; Bacillaceae.
GAUGAAGGUUUUCGGAUCGUAAAGCUCUGUUGUUAGGGAAGAACAAGUGCAAGAGUAACUGCUUGCACCUUGACGGUACCUAACCAGAAAGCCACGGCUAACUACGUGCCAGCAGCCGCGGUAAUACGUAGGUGGCAAGCGUUGUCCGGAAUUAUUGGGCGUAAAGGGCUCGCAGGCGGUUUCUUAAGUCUGAUGUGAAAGCCCCCGGCUCAACCGGGGAGGGUCAUUGGUAAAACUGGGAAACUUGAGUGCAGAAGAGGAGAGUGGAAUUCCACGUGUAGCGGUGAAAUGCGUAGAGAUGUGGAGGAACACCAGUGGCGAAGGCGACUCUCUGGUCUGUAACUGACGCUGAGGAGCGAAUAGCGUGGGGAGCGAACAGGAUUACGAUACCCUGGUAGUCCACGCCGUAAACGAUGAGUGCUAAGUGUUAGGGGGUUUCCGCCCCUUAGUGCUGCAGCUAACGCAUUAAGCACUCCGCCUGGGGAGUACGGUCGCAAGACUGAAACUCAAAGGAAUUGACGGGGGCCCGCACAAGCGGUGGAGCAUGUGGUUUAAUUCGAAGCAACGCGAAGAACCUUACCAGCGUCUUGACAUCCUCUGACAACCCUAGAGAUAGGGCUUUCCCUUCGGGGACAGACGUGACAGGUGGUGCAUGGUUGUCGUCAGCUCGUGUCGUGAGAUGUUGGGUUAAGUCCCGCAACGAGCGCAACCCUUGAUCUUAGUUGCCAGCAUUCAGUUGGGCACUCUAAGGUGACUGCCGGUGACAAACCGGAGGAAGGUGGGGAUGACGUCAAAUCAUCAUGCCCCUUAUGACCUGGGCUACACACGUGCUACAAUGGACAGAACAAAGGGCUGCGAGACCGCAAGGUUUAGCCAAUCCCACAAAUCUGUAGUCUCAGUUCGGAUCGCAGUCUGCAACUCGACUGCGUGAAGCUGGAAUCGCUAGUAAUCGCGGAUCAGCAUGCCGCGGUGAAUACGUUCCCGGGCCUUGUACACACCGCCCGUCACACCACGAGAGUUUGCAACACCCGAAGUCGGUGAGGUAACCUUUAUGGAGCCAGCCGCCGAAG